This 146-nucleotide small nuclear RNA is filed under the name Vombatus ursinus (common wombat). Its description in RNAcentral is "U1 spliceosomal RNA (ENSVURG00010016967.1)". It matches the Rfam family "U1 spliceosomal RNA". From Rfam's summary of the family: U1 is a small nuclear RNA (snRNA) component of the spliceosome (involved in pre-mRNA splicing). Its 5' end forms complementary base pairs with the 5' splice junction, thus defining the 5' donor site of an intron. The record is from RNAcentral. Lineage: Eukaryota; Metazoa; Chordata; Mammalia; Diprotodontia; Vombatidae.
AAACUUACCUAGCAGAGGUGAUUCUGCAAUCACUAAGGUGGUUUUCUCAGGGGGAGGCUUAUCCAUUUAUGUUGAACCCUGCAAUUUCCCAGAAUGUCAAAAGUUGUUGUUUGUGGUUGGCAGUGGGGUAUGGUGGUGAUUGCUGU